RNAcentral lists this ribosomal RNA (496 nucleotides) under uncultured bacterium. RNAcentral's name for it is "partial 16S ribosomal RNA". It matches the Rfam family "Bacterial small subunit ribosomal RNA", at positions 28 to 506 of the family's 1533-position model. The record is from RNAcentral.
GAUGAACGCUGGCGGCGUGCCUAAUACAUGCAAGUCGAGCGAACGGACGAGAAGCUUGCUUCUCUGGUGUUAGCGGCGGACGGGUGAGUAACACGUGGAUAACCUACCUAUAAGACCGGGAUAACUUCGGGAAACCGGAGCUAAUACCGGAUGAUAUUUUGAACCGCAUGGUUCAAAAGUGAAAGACGGUCUUGCUGUCACUUAUAGAUGGAUCCGCGCUGCAUUAGCUAGUUGGUAAGGUAACGGCUUACCAAGGCAACGAUGCAUAGCCGACCUGAGAGGGUGAUCGGCCACACUGGAACUGAGACACGGUCCAGACUCCUACGGGAGGCAGCAGUAGGGAAUCUUCCGCAAUGGGCGAAAGCCUGACGGAGCAACGCCGCGUGAGUGAUGAAGGUCUUCGGAUCGUAAAACUCUGUUAUUAGGGAAGAACAUAUGUGUAAGUAACUGUGCACAUCUUGACGGUACCUAAGCAGAAAGCCACGGCUAACUACGU